RNAcentral lists this long non-coding RNA (713 nucleotides) under Homo sapiens (human). Its description in RNAcentral is "non-protein coding lnc-SNRPN-8:121". The record is from RNAcentral. Lineage: Eukaryota; Metazoa; Chordata; Mammalia; Primates; Hominidae.
GCAUGGAAGGAAGGACUGUGUCUGUGAGGGAUGAUCAUCCUCUCAUGUGAUCCUUGGAGAUGCCAGGAAGCCCCUUGACACAUGUGGCAUGGGCUCCUUCAGAGGCUUUUGGAUCCGUCGUGAAUGUGGCAUGGGCAUGCAAAGAAAGACAGAGGCUGCAAGGGAUAAACUUCAUCUUGGGAGAUCCCUGGAGAUGGCAGGGAACCCAUGGACACAUGUGGCAUGGGCUCCUUUGGGUGCCGGUGGAUCCCUUCAUACGGUAGUGUUGGUGUAAAAGGCAAACCCGUGUCAUGAGGGAUGGUCAUCAUCUUGUGUGAUCCUUGGAGAUGGCAGGAAGCCCUGGACAUACAUGGUGUGGGGGCUCCUCCAGAGGCUGUUGGGAUCCUCCUGGAUGUGGUGUGGGCAUGGAAGGAAGGCCAGUGGAGACAAUGGAUGAUCUUGUUCUUAGCAGAUCACUGGAUGUGGCAGGGAGUCCUAGGACAUGUGUGGUGUGGGCUUCUUCAGGUGCUGGUGGUGUUGGCAUGAGGAAAGGAGGUAUCUUCGAGGGACAAUCUUCUUCUUGUGCGAUCCUUGGAGAUGCCAUGAGGCCCCUGGACACAUGUGGUGUGGGCUCCUUUGGAGGCUGUUGUAUCCCUUCUGAAUGUGGCGUGGGCAUAGAAGGAAGGCCAGUGGCCACGAGGGACAAUCUUGGUCUUGGGAGAUCCUGGAAAUGA